This 468-nucleotide ribosomal RNA is filed under the name uncultured bacterium. Its description in RNAcentral is "partial 16S ribosomal RNA". It matches the Rfam family "Bacterial small subunit ribosomal RNA", at positions 28 to 507 of the family's 1533-position model. The record is from RNAcentral.
GACGAACGCUGGCGGCGUGCUUAACACAUGCAAGUCGAACGGAAAGGCCCUGCUUUUGUGGGGUGCUCGAUUGGCGAACGGGUGAGUAACACGUGAGUAACCUGCCCUUGACUUUGGGAUAACUUCAGGAAACUGGGGCUAAUACCGGAUAGGAGCUCCUGCUGCAUGGUGGUGGUUGGAAAGUUUCGGCGGUUGGGGAUGGACUCGCGGCUUAUCAGCUUGUUGGUGGGGUAGUGGCUUACCAAGGCUUUGACGGGUAGCCGACCUGAGAGGGUGACCGGCCACAUGGGGACUGAGAUACGGCCCAGACUCGUACGGGAGGCAGCAGUGGGGAAUAUUGCAGAAUGGGCGGAAGCCUGAUGCAGCGGCGCCGCGUGCGGGAUGACGGCCUACGGGUGGUAAACCGCUGUCGCCGGUGACGAGGCGUGAGUGACGGUAAUGGGUAAAGAAGCACCGGCUAACUACGUG